CCUACGGGGGGCAGCAGUGGGGAAUAUUGCACAAUGGGGGAAACCCUGAUGCAGCAACGCCGCGUGAGCGAUGAAGGCCUUCGGGUCGUAAAGCUCUGUCCUAAGGGAAGAAUACUGACGGUACCUUAGGAGGAAGCCCCGGUUUACUACGUGCCAGCAGCCGAGGUAAAACGUAGGUGGUUAGCGUUAUCCGGAAUUACUGGGAUGAAAGGGUGCGUAGGCGGGCCUUCAAAUCAGCGGUGAAAGGCUACGACUCAACCGUAGUAAGCCUUUGAAACUGUAGGGGUUGAGUGUAGGAGAGGGGAGUGAAAGUCCAAGUCUAGAAGUGAGAAGCGAAAAUAUUGGGAAGAACACCAGUAGCGAACGGGGCUUUCAGGAAUGUAACUGACGCUGAGGAACGAAAGCGUCGGGAGCGAACAGGAUUAGAUACACCGGUAGGC
This 440-nucleotide ribosomal RNA is filed under the name uncultured bacterium. RNAcentral describes it as "partial 16S ribosomal RNA". It matches the Rfam family "Bacterial small subunit ribosomal RNA", at positions 338 to 795 of the family's 1533-position model. The record is from RNAcentral.